This 86-nucleotide transfer RNA is filed under the name Candidatus Aenigmatarchaeota archaeon. RNAcentral's name for it is "tRNA-Leu". It matches the Rfam family "tRNA". From Rfam's summary of the family: Transfer RNA (tRNA) molecules are approximately 80 nucleotides in length. Their secondary structure includes four short double-helical elements and three loops (D, anti-codon, and T loops). The record is from RNAcentral. Lineage: Archaea; Nanobdellati; Candidatus Aenigmatarchaeota.
GCAGGGGUCCCAUAGCCUGGUCAAUUGGGGCGGGCUUAAGAUCCGCUGGCUUAGUGCCUUCGUGAGUUCAAAUCUCACCCCCUGCA